RNAcentral lists this ribosomal RNA (500 nucleotides) under uncultured bacterium. RNAcentral describes it as "partial 16S ribosomal RNA". It matches the Rfam family "Bacterial small subunit ribosomal RNA", at positions 30 to 523 of the family's 1533-position model. The record is from RNAcentral.
AUUGAACGCUGGCGGCACGCCUUACACAUGCAAGUCGAACGGUAACGGGUCCUUCGGGAUGCCGACGAGUGGCGAACGGGUGAGUAAUAUAUCGGAACGUGCCCAGUAGUGGGGGAUAACUGCUCGAAAGAGCAGCUAGUACCGCAUACGACCUGAGGGUGAAAGGGGGGGAUCGCAAGACCUCUCGCUAUUGGAGCGGCCGAUAUCAGAUUAGAUAGUUGGUGGGGUAAAGGCCUACCAAGGCAACGAUCUGUAGUUGGUCUGAGAGGACGACCAGCCACACUGGGACUGAGACACGGCCCAGACUCCUACGGGAGGCAGCAGUGGGGAAUUUUGGACAAUGGGCGCAAGCCUGAUCCAGCAAUGCCGCGUGCAGGAGGAAGGCCUUCGGGUUGUAAACUGCUUUUGUCAGGGAAGAAAUCUUCUGGGCUAAUACCCCGGGAGGAUGACGGUACCUGAAGAAUAAGCACCGGCUAACUACGUGCCAGCCGCCGCAGUAA